UCUGAAAAAACAUCAUAGUUACAACUUUCAACAACGGAUCUCUUGGUUCUGGCAUCGAUGAAGAACGCAGCGAAAUGCGAUAAGUAGUGUGAAUUGCAGAAUUCAGUGAAUCAUCGAAUCUUUGAACGCACAUUGCGCCCCUUGGUAUUCCAUGGGGCAUGCCUGUUCGAGCGUCAUUUGUACCUUCAAGCUCUGCUUGGUGUUGGGUGUUUGUCUCGCCUCUGCGUGUAGACUCGCCUUAAAACAAUUGGCAGCCGGCGUAUUGAUUUCGGAGCGCAGUACAUCUCGCGCUUUGCACUCAUAACGACGACGUCCAAAAGUACAUUUUUACACUCUUGACCUCGGAUCAGGUAGGGAUACCCGCUGAACUUAAGCAUAUCAAUAAGCGGAGGA
This 393-nucleotide ribosomal RNA is filed under the name Epicoccum sp. CID497. Its description in RNAcentral is "eukaryotic LSU rRNA". The stretch from base 23 to 176 matches the Rfam family "5.8S ribosomal RNA". The record is from RNAcentral. Lineage: Eukaryota; Fungi; Ascomycota; Dothideomycetes; Pleosporales; Didymellaceae.